Molecule: ribosomal RNA, 1931 nt
Filed under: Escherichia coli
Lineage: Bacteria; Pseudomonadati; Pseudomonadota; Gammaproteobacteria; Enterobacterales; Enterobacteriaceae
Description: partial 23S ribosomal RNA
Rfam family: Bacterial large subunit ribosomal RNA
Source: RNAcentral
UGUAUAAUGGGUCAGCGACUUAUAUUCUGUAGCAAGGUUAACCGAAUAGGGGAGCCGAAGGGAAACCGAGUCUUAACUGGGCGUUAAGUUGCAGGGUAUAGACCCGAAACCCGGUGAUCUAGCCAUGGGCAGGUUGAAGGUUGGGUAACACUAACUGGAGGACCGAACCGACUAAUGUUGAAAAAUUAGCGGAUGACUUGUGGCUGGGGGUGAAAGGCCAAUCAAACCGGGAGAUAGCUGGUUCUCCCCGAAAGCUAUUUAGGUAGCGCCUCGUGAAUUCAUCUCCGGGGGUAGAGCACUGUUUCGGCAAGGGGGUCAUCCCGACUUACCAACCCGAUGCAAACUGCGAAUACCGGAGAAUGUUAUCACGGGAGACACACGGCGGGUGCUAACGUCCGUCGUGAAGAGGGAAACAACCCAGACCGCCAGCUAAGGUCCCAAAGUCAUGGUUAAGUGGGAAACGAUGUGGGAAGGCCCAGACAGCCAGGAUGUUGGCUUAGAAGCAGCCAUCAUUUAAAGAAAGCGUAAUAGCUCACUGGUCGAGUCGGCCUGCGCGGAAGAUGUAACGGGGCUAAACCAUGCACCGAAGCUGCGGCAGCGACACUAUGUGUUGUUGGGUAGGGGAGCGUUCUGUAAGCCUGUGAAGGUGGCCUGUGAGGGUUGCUGGAGGUAUCAGAAGUGCGAAUGCUGACAUAAGUAACGAUAAAGCGGGUGAAAAGCCCGCUCGCCGGAAGACCAAGGGUUCCUGUCCAACGUUAAUCGGGGCAGGGUGAGUCGACCCCUAAGGCGAGGCCGAAAGGCGUAGUCGAUGGGAAACAGGUUAAUAUUCCUGUACUUGGUGUUACUGCGAAGGGGGGACGGAGAAGGCUAUGUUGGCCGGGCGACGGUUGUCCCGGUUUAAGCGUGUAGGCUGGUUUUCCAGGCAAAUCCGGAAAACCAAGGCUGAGGCGUGAUGACGAGGCACUACGGUGCUGAAGCGACAAAUGCCCUGCUUCCAGGAAAAGCCUCUAAGCAUCAGGUAACAUCAAAUCGUACCCCAAACCGACACAGGUGGUCAGGUAGAGAAUACCAAGGCGCUUGAGAGAACUCGGGUGAAGGAACUAGGCAAAAUGGUGCCGUAACUUCGGGAGAAGGCACGCUGAUAUGUAGGUGAAGCGACUUGCUCGUGGAGCUGAAAUCAGUCGAAGAUACCAGCUGGCUGCAACUGUUUAUUAAAAACACAGCACUGUGCAAACACGAAAGUGGACGUAUACGGUGUGACGCCUGCCCGGUGCCGGAAGGUUAAUUGAUGGGGUUAGCGGCAACGCGAAGCUCUUGAUCGAAGCCCCGGUAAACGGCGGCCGUAACUAUAACGGUCCUAAGGUAGCGAAAUUCCUUGUCGGGUAAGUUCCGACCUGCACGAAUGGCGUAAUGAUGGCCAGGCUGUCUCCACCCGAGACUCAGUGAAAUUGAACUCGCUGUGAAGAUGCAGUGUACCCGCGGCAAGACGGAAAGACCCCGUGAACCUUUACUAUAGCUUGACACUGAACAUUGAGCCUUGAUGUGUAGGAUAGGUGGGAGGCUUUGAAGUGUGGACGCCAGUCUGCAUGGAGCCGACCUUGAAAUACCACCCUUUAAUGUUUGAUGUUCUAACGUUGGCCCCUAAUCGGGGUUGCGGACAGUGUCUGGUGGGUAGUUUGACUGGGGCGGUCUCCUCCUAAAGAGUAACGGAGGAGCACGAAGGUUGGCUAAUCCUGGUCGGACAUCAGGAGGUUAGUGCAAUGGCAUAAGCCAGCUUGACUGCGAGCGUGACGGCGCGAGCAGGUGCGAAAGCAGGUCAUAGUGAUCCGGUGGUUCUGAAUGGAAGGGCCAUCGCUCAACGGAUAAAAGGUACUCCGGGGAUAACAGGCUGAUACCGCCCAAGAGUUCAUAUCGACGGCGGUGUUUGGCAC